Molecule: ribosomal RNA, 471 nt
Filed under: Streptococcus mutans
Lineage: Bacteria; Bacillati; Bacillota; Bacilli; Lactobacillales; Streptococcaceae
Description: bacterial SSU rRNA
Rfam family: Bacterial small subunit ribosomal RNA
Source: RNAcentral
GACGAACGCUGGCGGCGUGCCUAAUACAUGCAAGUGGGACGCAAGGGAACACACUGUGCUUGCACACCGUGUUUUCUUGAGUCGCGAACGGGUGAGUAACGCGUAGGUAACCUGCCUAUUAGCGGGGGAUAACUAUUGGAAACGAUAGCUAAUACCGCAUAAUAUUAAUUAUUGCAUGAUAAUUGAUUGAAAGAUGCAAGCGCAUCACUAGUAGAUGGACCUGCGUUGUAUUAGCUAGUUGGUAAGGUAAGAGCUUACCAAGGCGACGAUACAUAGCCGACCCGAGAGGGUGAUCGGCCACACUGGGACUGAGACACGGCCCAGACUCCUACGGGAGGCAGCAGUAGGGAAUCUUCGGCAAUGGACGAAAGUCUGACCGAGCAACGCCGCGUGAGUGAAGAAGGUUUUCGGAUCGUAAAGCUCUGUUGUAAGUCAAGAACGUGUGUGAGAGUGGAAAGUUCACACAGGACG